Molecule: ribosomal RNA, 618 nt
Filed under: uncultured bacterium
Lineage: Bacteria
Description: bacterial SSU rRNA
Rfam family: Bacterial small subunit ribosomal RNA
Source: RNAcentral
GCUUGCUUCUCUUGAGAGCGGCGGACGGGUGAGUAAUGCCUAGGAAUCUGCCUGGUAGUGGGGGAUAACGUUCGGAAACGGACGCUAAUACCGCAUACGUCCUACGGGAGAAAGCAGGGGACCUUCGGGCCUUGCGCUAUCAGAUGAGCCUAGGUCGGAUUAGCUAGUUGGUGGGGUAAUGGCUCACCAAGGCGACGAUCCGUAACUGGUCUGAGAGGAUGAUCAGUCACACUGGAACUGAGACACGGUCCAGACUCCUACGGGAGGCAGCAGUGGGGAAUAUUGGACAAUGGGCGAAAGCCUGAUCCAGCCAUGCCGCGUGUGUGAAGAAGGUCUUCGGAUUGUAAAGCACUUUAAGUUGGGAGGAAGGGUUGUAGAUUAAUACUCUGCAAUUUUGACGUUACCGACAGAAUAAGCACCGGCUAACUCUGUGCCAGCAGCCGCGGUAAUACAGAGGGUGCAAGCGUUAAUCGGAAUUACUGGGCGUAAAGCGCGCGUAGGUGGUUUGUUAAGUUGGAUGUGAAAUCCCCGGGCUCAACCUGGGAACUGCAUUCAAAACUGACUGACUAGAGUAUGGUAGAGGGUGGUGGAAUUUCCUGUGUAGCGGUGAAAUGCGUA